UCCGGUCCAGAAACAACAACAACAGCGGAGGUUCGGAAAAUUAGGGAGAGAAGCUCCAAAUCACCACGUCGCCGACGCGGUGACGCGAUCUCAUUCUAAUCCCUUCUCUCGCCUCGUCCACUUCGUCUUCGUCGCUCUCAACGGUAAUCGCACCGCUUCCCCGCUCUCAGAUCUGGCAAACCCUAGCCGUUCCUAGGGUUAGGGGUUUCUCGGGCGAUCUAAUAGGGUUUCUCCGGUGUUGUUUGGGGGGGUUGGUUGCAGUGGGAGGAGGUCGCCGAUGGAGGUGGAGCCUCCGGGGCCGGUGCGGUACUUGGUCGGAGCCGCGAUCAUGAUGAUCGGGGUGGUGAUCCCCCUCGGCUACAUGAUGUUUCGGAGCAAGCGCGCCCCCUCCUCAUCGUCCUCGUCCUUCUCCAAACAGACGUAGAAUAAGGGAUUGAUUUAGGAUGAUAGUGGCUAUUUCGAUUAGAUCGGGAGGUUGCAAAGCUGGUUGAGAGAGGAGGAGGAGGAGGAGGGAUACUUGGCAUUUCGCGAACUCGGGGUGAUGUAUUCUUUUGAUCUAGUUGCUAUAUAAUGUUCGAUUUGAAAUAAUUUACUGGUAUAGUUUUUCGUUAUUUUUUAGCAACUCUUGACUUUUAUGAUUGUUGUUAUAUUAUCUGAAUCUUUUUAUGGGUAUGUUUCGAAAAUUUUCAAAUGAUGAAAGUUUUAUUCUGUUUUAUCCAGUA
RNA transcript from Ananas comosus (pineapple), 722 nucleotides. RefSeq lists it as uncharacterized. NCBI's taxonomy places the organism in Eukaryota, Viridiplantae, Streptophyta, Magnoliopsida, Poales, Bromeliaceae. The record is from RefSeq and is a predicted model, not a curated record. The transcript has 2 exons.